This 440-nucleotide ribosomal RNA is filed under the name uncultured bacterium. RNAcentral describes it as "partial 16S ribosomal RNA". It matches the Rfam family "Bacterial small subunit ribosomal RNA", at positions 338 to 795 of the family's 1533-position model. The record is from RNAcentral.
CCUACGGGAGGCAGCAGUGGGGAAUAUUGCACAAUGGGGGAAACCCUGAUGCAGCGACGCCGCGUGAGUGAAGAAGUAUUUCGGUAUGUAAAGCUCUAUCAGCAGGGAAGAAAAUGACGGUACCUGAUUAAGAAGCCCCGGCUAACUACGUGCCAGCAGCCGUGGUAAUAUGUAGGGGGCAAGCGUAAUCCGGAUUUACUGGGCGUUAAGGGAGCGUAGGCGGGAGGACAAGUCUGGAGUGAAAUGCCGGGGCUUAACCGCGGAACUGCUUUGGAAACUGUGCAGCUAGAGUACAGGAGAGGUAGGUGGAAUUCGUGGUGUAGCGGUGAAAUGCGUAGAUAUUAGGAAGAACUCCAGUUGCGAAGGCAGCUUACUGGACUGUAACUGACGUUGAGGCUCGAAAGCGUGGGGAGCAAACAGGAUUAGAUACCCCUGUAGUC